RNAcentral lists this ribosomal RNA (417 nucleotides) under uncultured bacterium. Its description in RNAcentral is "bacterial SSU rRNA". It matches the Rfam family "Bacterial small subunit ribosomal RNA", at positions 9 to 444 of the family's 1533-position model. The record is from RNAcentral.
CGAGUUUGAUCCUGGCUCAGAACGAACGCUGGCGGCAGGCCUAACACAUGCAAGUCGAACGAGAAGCUUCUUCGGAAGUGGACAGUGGCAGACGGGUGAGUAACGCGUGGGGAUCUGCCCAGAGGUUCGGGACAACCAUUGGAAACGAUGGCUAAUACCGGAUAAGCCCGCAAGGGGAAAGAUUUAUCGCCUUUGGAUGAACCCGCGUAAGAUUAGCUAGUUGGUGAGGUAAUGGCUCACCAAGGCGACGAUCUUUAGCUGGUCUGAGAGGAUGAUCAGCCACAUUGGGACUGAGACACGGCCCAGACUCCUACGGGAGGCAGCAGUGAGGAAUAUUGGACAAUGGAGGCAACUCUGAUCCAGCCAUGCCGCGUGCAGGAAGACUGCCCUAUGGGUUGUAAACUGCUUUUAUAUAGG